GACAGAGGGUGCAAACGUUGCUCGGAAUUACUGGGCGUAAAGCGCGUGUAGGCGGACUGGUGUGUCGGAUGUGAAAUCCCCAGGCUCAACCUGGGAACUGCAUUCGAAACUGCCAGCCUUGAGUGGUGGAGAGGGAAGUGGAAUUCCUGGUGUAGAGGUGAAAUGCGUAGAGAUCAGGAAGAACAUCGGUGGCGAAGGCGCUCUGCUGGACCAUAACUGACACUCAGGGACGAAAGCUAGGGGAGCGAAUGGG
Molecule: ribosomal RNA, 253 nt
Filed under: uncultured bacterium
Lineage: Bacteria
Description: partial 16S ribosomal RNA
Rfam family: Bacterial small subunit ribosomal RNA
Source: RNAcentral